Molecule: non-coding RNA, 1250 nt
Organism: Phoenix dactylifera (date palm)
Lineage: Eukaryota; Viridiplantae; Streptophyta; Magnoliopsida; Arecales; Arecaceae
Source: RefSeq, a predicted model, not a curated record
CCAUCAUGGAGAGAGGCAGCUAAUUAAAAGACUAAUAUCUAGGAUGAAAAGGAAGAUUAUGCGAAAGAGGAAGAGAAAAUAUUGAAGUCAGAUUUUCGCUCAUCAGUUUGCAUCAACCAACCAUACAGCCCAGGCCCUAAUCCCUAUCCACCCCAAUCCAUCGACUCCCACCUCAAACGCUCCACCCCCCCGGGGAUCACCACAACCCAUCCAUCCACGAGAAGUUAUUCAGGCCCGCCCCUGUCCGUGGCUCGUCAACUUAUAGCCCGUCCCGUCGCGCGAGUCGGAUAACUUGCGACUGGGGAAUUCCCGUGGUUGGUGAGUCCCCGCAGGUGCUUGCGUCCUACGAGGCUCGAACUCCCAUGGCGUCCGCCGCCGCCUCCAAGAGAGCACUGCUAGCCGACGACGUCCCGUGGAGGGCCUCCCCCGCCGGCGCGAAGCCCGUCCCAAGAAUCCACCAGAACCCCGUACUCCGGCUUCCCCAGAAUCCUAACACAUCCUACGCCCUCGCCGUCAUGAAGCGUCCCGAUCCAAUCGGCGAAGGGCUCGCCAUGGAGGCGACGCUGGAAGCGGCGGGGCCCGACUGCAUCGUCCCCGGGCAGGCUACUCCUGUGAAGUUGCUCGGAUUGAAGGUCUGGCCUAUUGAUAUUAACUUCAAAUUUAUGGAACCUGUUGGGCGAGAACUGCAGAACAUUGGAAAGUGGUAACUACGACAGCAAAUCGAGGGCUAUGCUAUAUUUUAUACAGAAGGUGUUGAGUGCAUUUUUGUGGUUGUUGACCACAAUUGGAUAAAUGAUGGAUUCAGCAUUAAACCUAAUGAAUGCAUCAUUUCAAGAUCGCUAGACCCAGAUGGUGUUGGUACUGGCCUAACAAUAUAUCCGGAGUUUACUGCUUAGCCUCAUUGCGGGAGUUUCUAGCUACUAGAGUUGUUGCGGUGAAAUCAAUGAAUAGAGUACUUGCUAUGUCUCUGGUUUAUGGUACAUCUGUAUGAUUGCAAUGAAAAUGGAUGUGGAGCUGUUAUAUAUGUAUUACCGUGCCAAAAACCUGAUGUGAAGUUUGUACAUUAAGUGAUUGUGGUUUUAUUAGAUACUAUUUGGCUGGAUGCCAGGAUUCAUUUCAGCUGUUUGCAUGAACUAACAUGGGAUUUGUGGACGUGUGCAUGUGUGUGUGUGAGAGAGAAUACUUGCUAUGUUUCCAGUUUUUGGGCACAUCUAUAUGAUUGCAAUGGAAAUGUAUCUUGAGCUGUUCCA